GAUAAGCUGCGUUAAGGAUAGAAGCGGUAUCCUUUUUUUGCUUGGUAAUGCAAGAAAAGAUAAAGCAGAUAGCCUGUUAAAAC
RNAcentral lists this small RNA (83 nucleotides) under Paracellulophaga baltica. Its description in RNAcentral is "Cellulophaga baltica Flavo-1 RNA". It matches the Rfam family "Flavo-1 RNA". The record is from RNAcentral. Lineage: Bacteria; Pseudomonadati; Bacteroidota; Flavobacteriia; Flavobacteriales; Flavobacteriaceae.